AUGCAAGUCGAGCGGGGAAGUAUAGCUUGCUAUACGACCUAGCGGCGGACGGGUGAGUAAUGCUUAGGAAUCUGCCUAUUAGUGGGGGACAACAUUCCGAAAGGAAUGCUAAUACCGCAUACGCCCUACGGGGGAAAGCAGGGGAUCUUCGGACCUUGCGCUAAUAGAUGAGCCUAAGUCAGAUUAGCUAGUUGGUGGGGUAAAGGCCUACCAAGGCGACGAUCUGUAGCGGGUCUGAGAGGAUGAUCCGCCACACUGGGACUGAGACACGGCCCAGACUCCUACGGGAGGCAGCAGUGGGGAAUAUUGGACAAUGGGCGAAAGCCUGAUCCAGCCAUGCCGCGUGUGUGAAGAAGGCCUUUUGGUUGUAAAGCACUUUAAGCGAGGAGGAGGCUACCGAGAUUAAUACCCUUGGAUAGUGGACGUUACUCGCAGAAUAAGCACCGGCUAACUCUGUGCCAGCAGCCGCGGUAAUACAGAGGGUGCGAGCGUUAAUCGGAUUUACUGGGCGUAAAGCGUGCGUAGGCGGCUUUUUAAGUCGGAUGUGAAAUCCCUGAGCUUAACUUAGGAAUUGCAUUCGAUACUGGGAAGCUAGAGUAUGGGAGAGGAUGGUAGAAUUCCAGGUGUAGCGGUGAAAUGCGUAGAGAUCUGGAGGAAUACCGAUGGCGAAGGCAGCCAUCUGGCCUAAUACUGACGCUGAGGUACGAAAGCAUGGGGAGCAAACAGGAUUAGAUACCCUGGUAGUCCAUGCCGUAAACGAUGUCUACUAGCCGUUGGGGCCUUUGAGGCUUUAGUGG
RNAcentral lists this ribosomal RNA (797 nucleotides) under uncultured bacterium. RNAcentral describes it as "bacterial SSU rRNA". It matches the Rfam family "Bacterial small subunit ribosomal RNA", at positions 55 to 846 of the family's 1533-position model. The record is from RNAcentral.